UCGCCUGUUUAUCAAAAACAUCGCUAAAAGUAGUUGAUUUUUAGUAGUACCUGCCCAGUGCGUAUUAUCUUGUUAACGGCCGCCUUAGCGUGAGGGUGCUAAGGUAGCGAAAUUCCUUGCCUUUUAAUUGUAGGCCAGCAUGAAUGGUUUGACGAGGGCCUCACUGUCUCUUAGUUCUAUGUUGAAAUUGUAGUGUAGGUGAAGAUACCUUCAUAAAAAAGUAAGACAAAAAGACCCCGUGCAACUUUGAAAAUUAAGCUAGAUUAAAUGGCAAAAGAUUUUUAGGUGGGGCGCCAAAAGAGGAAACUAUAACCUCUGCUGUUUAAGCUAAUUCUUACUGGAGUUGACCUGACUUAAGUCGAUCAAAGGAGAAGUUACGCCGGGGAUAACAGGCCAAUUCUUUAGUAAAGCUCGUAUUAACUAAAGGGCUUGGCACCUCGAUGUUGAAUCAGGGAUUAUAGCUUCAAGGCGUAGAUGCUUUGAUUAGUAGGUCUGUUCGACCUUUGAAACCCUACGUGAUCUGAUCCAGACCGGA
This 535-nucleotide ribosomal RNA is filed under the name Crassostrea tulipa. RNAcentral describes it as "partial 16S ribosomal RNA". It matches the Rfam family "Bacterial large subunit ribosomal RNA", at positions 1796 to 2620 of the family's 2925-position model. Lineage: Eukaryota; Metazoa; Mollusca; Bivalvia; Ostreida; Ostreidae. The record is from RNAcentral.